GUAUGUGAUUGGAGGACCCUUAGACUCCUCGUCCAAUCACGUGUGAGGGCAUAGGCAUGACUGAUACAGCAGUACUUGGAAGACGAGCAUACGAACAAACACGUGUUACUAUAUUCAGAAGAACUGUAUCUCCAGUUCCUUUGUUUGGUUUUUGCUGGUUCGUGAAUAAUGGCGGGACGACGUCUCGCGUUCAACUCGCCUUCAACUCCUCUCCGCGGUCACCAACUUUCGGCCAGUCCGCGGACAGACGAGAAGAAGCUGCUGAAAGCUCUCAGUGGAUCGUCUCGUCAACUCCAACAACAAACUGCCGAUAUCAACGAGCGGUUCGCUCCACUGGAGCGUUCGGGACUCUGCGGGUUUCUGUCCAUGGAGGAGAGGAACCGACUCAAAGAAGAGGAGACGGGCGCACAAUCCCACGAUAGCGGAAGCGGUGCGCCGUCUUCUCAACUCCGAGACAAAUUACAGGCGCUACGGACCGGAGCAAGGACUAAUCUCGCCUCAUAAAGAGGCGGUGACCUCGUAUUUCCUCCGGGAAAAGUCCAGAUUUUAACGACGUCAUUGUGUCCGCCUGUGAGACGUAUUGUGAGACGGGACGCAGGAGCUUCAGGUUUUCCAGCCGGAACACUCAAUGCGGAGUUCAGCGCGGAGUCAAGCGAGAAGAAAGAGGCUGCUGGAAUCGAGACAAAGUGUGCUGACUGAUGACGAGGUGGAACUCUGGAACUCCGCCACCGUAGAGCUCACGUCGGACGGAGGGGACGGCGUUGUUGGCGGGGUCUCGGGGUGGAUUGUACGGUCGCCACAGGCACACGAGCCGCCUGCACAAGAGACCUGCCUCGGAAAACACAGCGCCAGUGACGGUCUACAACCCCGAGGAGGCAAACGGACAGUUUACUGAGCUGUAGUUUUUAAACCGCCGUUACCCAAGUGUGGGCAGAUCCUCACUUUGUAUGUAGUCAUUGUUUGUGUGUUGUUAAUAAAGCUCUUUCUUUGCAUAAA
Gasterosteus aculeatus aculeatus (three-spined stickleback) is the source of this 996-nucleotide long non-coding RNA. The record is from Ensembl. NCBI's taxonomy places the organism in Eukaryota, Metazoa, Chordata, Actinopteri, Perciformes, Gasterosteidae.